This 486-nucleotide ribosomal RNA is filed under the name uncultured bacterium. RNAcentral describes it as "partial 16S ribosomal RNA". It matches the Rfam family "Bacterial small subunit ribosomal RNA", at positions 30 to 507 of the family's 1533-position model. The record is from RNAcentral.
AUUGAACGCUGGCGGCAUGCCUUACACAUGCAAGUCGAACGGCAGCACGGGUGCUUGCACCUGGUGGCGAGUGGCGAACGGGUGAGUAAUACAUCGGAACAUGUCCUGUAGUGGGGGAUAGCCCGGCGAAAGCCGGAUUAAUACCGCAUACGAUCUACGGAUGAAAGCGGGGGACCUUCGGGCCUCGCGCUAUAGGGUUGGCCGACGGCUGAUUAGCUAGUUGGUGGGGUAAAGGCCUACCAAGGCGACGAUCAGUAGCUGGUCUGUGAGGACGACCAGCCACACUGGGACUGAGACACGGCCCAGACUCCUACGGGAGGCAGCAGUGGGGAAUUUUGGACAAUGGGCGAAAGCCUGAUCCAGCAAUGCCGCGUGUGUGAAGAAGGCCUUCGGGUUGUAAAGCACUUUUGUCCGGAAAGAAAUCCUUGGCCCUAAUACGGUCGGGGGAUGACGGUACCGGAAGAAUAAGCACCGGCUAACUACGUG